RNAcentral lists this ribosomal RNA (1234 nucleotides) under Acarospora cervina. Its description in RNAcentral is "eukaryotic LSU rRNA". It matches the Rfam family "Eukaryotic large subunit ribosomal RNA", at positions 103 to 1357 of the family's 3401-position model. Lineage: Eukaryota; Fungi; Ascomycota; Lecanoromycetes; Acarosporales; Acarosporaceae. The record is from RNAcentral.
AACAGCUCAAAUUUGAAAUCUGGCUCUUUCAGGGUCCGAGUUGUAAUUUGUAGAGGAUGCUUCGGGUACGGCUCCGGUCUAAGUUCCUUGGAACAGGACGUCGCAGAGGGUGAGAAUCCCGUACGUGACCGGCCUCCACGCCCGUGUGAAGCUCCUUCGACGAGUCGAGUUGUUUGGGAAUGCAGCUCAAAAUGGGUGGUAAAUUUCAUCUAAAGCUAAAUAUUGGCCAGAGACCGAUAGCGCACAAGUAGAGUGAUCGAAAGAUGAAAAGCACUUUGGAAAGAGAGUCAAACAGUACGUGAAAUUGUUGAAAGGGAAGCGCUUGCAACCAGACUUGCCCGCGGGUGAUCAGCCGGUAUUUUUACCGGUGCACUCGCCCGUGGUCAGGCCAGCAUCGGUUUGGGCGGCUGGAUAAAGUCCCCCGGAAUGUAGCUCCCUUCGGGGAGUGUUAUAGCCGGGGGUGCAAUGCUGCCCGCCUGGACCGAGGACCGCGCUUCGGCUUGGAUGCUGGCGUAAUGGUUGUAAGCGACCCGUCUUGAAACACGGACCAAGGAGUCUAACAUCUAUGCGAGUGUUUGGGUGUCAAACCCAUGCGCGUAAUGAAAGUGAACGGAGGUGGGAACCCUCAAGGGUGCACCAUCGACCGAUCCUGAUGUCUUCGGAUGGAUUUGAGUAAGAGCAUAGCUGUUGGGACCCGAAAGAUGGUGAACUAUGCCUGAAUAGGGUGAAGCCAGAGGAAACUCUGGUGGAGGCUCGCAGCGGUUCUGACGUGCAAAUCGAUCGUCAAAUUUGGGUAUAGGGGCGAAAGACUAAUCGAACCAUCUAGUAGCUGGUUCCUGCCGAAGUUUCCCUCAGGAUAGCAGUAACGUUUUCAGUUUUAUGAGGUAAAGCGAAUGAUUAGGGAACUGGGGGGCGUAACGUCCUUCAUCCAUUCUCAAACUUUAAAUAUGUAAGAAGUCCUUGUUACUUUGUUGAACGUGGACAUUUGAAUGUACCGUUACUAGUGGGCCAUUUUUGGUAAGCAGAACUGGCGAUGCGGGAUGAACCGAACGCGAGGUUAAGGUGCCGGAAUGCACGCUCAUCAGACACCACAAAAGGUGUUGUUUCAUCCAGACAGCCGGACGGUGGCCAUGGAAGUCGGAAUCCGCUAAGGAGUGUGUAACAACUCACCGGCCGAAUGAAACAGCCCUGAAAAUGGAUGGCGCUCAAGCGUGCUACCCAUACCUCGCCGCCA